GACGAACGCUGGCGGCGUGCUUAACACAUGCAAGUCGAGCGGUAAGGCCCUUCGGGGUACGACGAGCGGCGAACGGGUGGAGUAACAACGUGGGUGGACCUGCCCUCCAGCUCUGGGAGUAAAGCCUGGGAAACCGGGUCCUAAUAACCGGAUAUGACUCCAUGACGCAUGUUGUGGGGUGGAAAGCCUUGUGCGGCUGGGGAUGGCCCGCGGCCUAUCAGCUUGUUGGUGGGGUGAUGGCCUACCAAGGCGA
This 253-nucleotide ribosomal RNA is filed under the name uncultured Actinomycetes bacterium. RNAcentral describes it as "uncultured actinobacterium partial 16S ribosomal RNA". It matches the Rfam family "Bacterial small subunit ribosomal RNA", at positions 28 to 276 of the family's 1533-position model. The record is from RNAcentral. Lineage: Bacteria; Bacillati; Actinomycetota; Actinomycetes.